GGCAGUUCUCAGGUGACGCACCCUGGACUCGAUCUCCCUCCUCUCUGGUUCUGGGGUGCAUCACCCGAGAACUGCC
Molecule: non-coding RNA, 76 nt
Organism: Myotis lucifugus (little brown bat)
Lineage: Eukaryota; Metazoa; Chordata; Mammalia; Chiroptera; Vespertilionidae
Source: Rfam